This 253-nucleotide ribosomal RNA is filed under the name uncultured bacterium. RNAcentral describes it as "partial 16S ribosomal RNA". It matches the Rfam family "Bacterial small subunit ribosomal RNA", at positions 524 to 776 of the family's 1533-position model. The record is from RNAcentral.
UACGUAGGGUGCGAGCGUUGUCCGGAAUUAUUGGGCGUAAAGGGCUCGUAGGCGGUUUGUCGCGUCGGGAGUGAAAACCCAGGGCUUAACCCUGGGCUGGCUUUCGAUACGGGCAGACUAGAGGUAUGCAGGGGAGAACGGAAUUCCUGGUGUAGCGGUGAAAUGCGCAGAUAUCAGGAGGAACACCGAUGGCGAAGGCAGGUCUCUGGGCCACUACUGACGCUGAGAAGCGAAAGCAUGGGGAGCGAACAGG